AGUGUUUAAUGCUAGAAACUUUGAGGGGGGGGGGGGUAGAAUGUCACUCUUGCCUGAGAGCCCUGACUAAGUGUGGUAAAGCCACAUAUUUGUUUAUAUAUUUCUGCAAUCUUCACUUUAGUUUGUGUGAUUUGUUUCUGACUUUCAUAUGAAUGUUUACACCAGGCUUGGUCAGUUCUUAAUACUACUGUGACUCAAGUAGUUAAAUAAAAGAUGUCAUUCAUAUAAAUUCAUGCAUCACCUAAUUUCAUCAUGACAUACAGGCCUGGCCUCCAGGAAAGAACAGUUUGUUUAAUAUAUCUAAUCUUGUGUUGUUCAUACUAUACAAUGAUUUAUUACAGAUUAUCUGGCCAAUGCUGGGUGUCUAAGGCCUUUGAAACGCAUAGAAGACAAAGAUCUCUUGGUGGAGGAUAUCAUGUUUCAGGUGGUUCAUCAAGUCAAUGGAGCACUUCAAAGAUUCAGGGAGGGGAUGAAGACCCUUGGUGUUCUUGAUGCAAUAAGAAUGCCCCCAGAUGCUUUCAGACCGCUGUCUUGUCACGAGCCAUCCCCACUCACAGCUGAUGUUCUAGAACAGCUCUUUGAAAUUCGACUGUCAGCAGUGGGCAGCAACAAAAGAAGGGCAGAGGAAUGUGUGGUUGCAUUUUGGAGGGACUACCUCAUGGAUGUUUAGGAACAAGAGGGACCCUUUGGGGGUGUCCUGGCCUUUGCAACGGGAGCAAAUGAUAUUCCACCCCUGGGCUUCUGCCCACGACCUUCAGUGGUUUUUCUCCAUGAGCUGCCCCUCAGACAAGGCCGUCAUUUACCCACCACAAACACAUGCAUUAACUGCCUGCGGUUGCCAGUCCUGAACAAAUUCGAGGAUUUUAAGGAAACUAUGGAUUUUGCAUUAAAAAACACUCAGGGAUUUGGUCAGGAAUGACUUCCGAGAACUCCUUAACGGUCAGUGUAUGUUUUGGUCAUUCGAUUUUCAUUUCAUUAACAGGUAUUAAAGAAACAAAAAAAUGAAUGGUUAUUUGAUUUUUGUUUUAAAAUACAAAAUUUGAAAUUUAAA
This is a long non-coding RNA of Perca fluviatilis (European perch), 1051 nucleotides long. RefSeq lists it as uncharacterized. The record is from RefSeq and is a predicted model, not a curated record. The transcript is spliced from 3 exons. Lineage: Eukaryota; Metazoa; Chordata; Actinopteri; Perciformes; Percidae.